RNAcentral lists this ribosomal RNA (1477 nucleotides) under human gut metagenome. Its description in RNAcentral is "bacterial LSU rRNA". It matches the Rfam family "Bacterial large subunit ribosomal RNA", at positions 831 to 2331 of the family's 2925-position model. The record is from RNAcentral.
AAUCGAACCCGGAGAUAGCUGGUUCUCCUCGAAAUAGCUUUAGGGCUAGCCUCAUACAAGUCUUGCGGAGGUAGAGCACUGAAUUUCCUAGGGGGCGUCAAAGCUUACCGAAGAAUAUCAAACUCCGAAUGCCGUGUAGAUGUUGUAUGGGAGUCAGACUGUACGAGAUAAGUUGGACAGUCAAAAGGGAAAGAGCCCAGACCUGCAGCUAAGGCCCCAAAAUGUGUGUUAAGUGGAAAAGGAUGUGGGAUUUCGAAGACAACUAGGAUGUUGGCUCAGAAGCAGCCAUACAUUCAAAGAGUGCGUAAUAGCUCACUAGUCGAGAGGUCCUGCGCCGAAAAUGUCCGGGGCUAAAACACAACACCGAAGCUGUGGAAUCACGUAAGUGAUUGGUAGAGGAGCAUUCUUAAGACCGACGAAGCUGUACCGGAAGGAGCAGUGGAGGGAUAAGAAGAGAGAAUGCCGGAAUGAGUAGCGAGAGAGAGGUGAGAAUCCUCUCGGCCGAAUAUCCAAGGUUUCCAGAGUAAAGCUGAUCUGCUCUGGGUAAGUCGGGGCCUAAGGAGAGGCAGAGAUGCGUAUCCGAUGGACAGCAGGUUUAAGAUUCCUGCACCCCUUGUUAUCAGAACUGCGGGGACACGGGAAGGGAAGCAGAGCCGGGAAUGGAAAGCCCGGUGCAAGCGAAGUAGUCGCAGGAUUGGAAAAUCCGUCCUGCAUGAGACAAAGGCGUGAUGCGGAGCGAAACAAAGUAGCGAAGCUGCGGCCCCUUCCUGUCGAGAAAAGCCGCUAUCGUGUAGCAAGGGCCCGUACCGUAAACCGACACAGGUGGAUGAGGAGAGAAUCCUAAGGCCGGCGGGAGAAGUGUUGUUAAGGAACUCGGCAAAAUGACUCCGUAACUUCGGGAGAAGGAGUGCUGCGCAAGCAGCCGCAGAGAAAUGGCCCAAGCAACUGUUUAGCAAAAACACAGGUCUAUGCGAAACCGAAAGGUGAGGUAUAUGGGCUGACGCCUGCCCGGUGCUGGAAGGUUAAGGGGAGAGCUUAGCGCAAGCGAAGGUUUGAACUUAAGCCCCAGUAAACGGCGGCCGUAACGAUAACGGUCCUAAGGUAGCGAAAUUCCUUGUCGGGUAAGUUCCGACCCGCACGAAAGGCGUAAUGAUUUGAGCGCUGUCUCGACAAUGCACCCGGUGAAAUUGAAAUACCAGUGAAGAUGCUGGUUACCCGCGCCAGGACGGAAAGACCCCAUGGAGCUUUACUCCAGCCUGAUACUGGGAUUCGGUAUUGCAUGUACAGGAUAGGUGGGAGGCUAAGAACUCAUGGCGCCAGCCGUGAGGGAGCCGGUGUUGGGAUACCACCCCUGCAGUACUGGGUUUCUAACCUGCGCCCGUGACCCGGGCGGGGGACAAUGUCAGGCGGGGAGUUUGACUGGGGCGGUCGCCUCCGAAAGGGUAUCGGAGGCGCUCAAAGGUUCCCUCAGAAUGGU